RNAcentral lists this ribosomal RNA (253 nucleotides) under uncultured bacterium. RNAcentral describes it as "partial 16S ribosomal RNA". It matches the Rfam family "Bacterial small subunit ribosomal RNA", at positions 524 to 776 of the family's 1533-position model. The record is from RNAcentral.
UACGAAGGGGGCUAGCGUUGCUCGGAAUCACUGGGCGUAAAGGGCGCGUAGGCGGCCUGAUAAGUCGGGGGUGAAAGCCUGUGGCUCAACCACAGAAUUGCCUUCGAUACUGUUGGGCUUGAGACCGGAAGAGGUAAGUGGAACUGCGAGUGUAGAGGUGAAAUUCGUAGAUAUUGGGAAGAACACCGGUGGCGAAGGCGGCCAACUGGACAGAUACUGACGCUGAGACUCGAAAGCGUGGGGAGCAAACAGG